UACGUAGGGGGCAAGCGUUGUUCGGAAUUACUGGGCGUAAAGGGCGCGUAGGCGGCACGGCAAGUCAGGAGUGAAAGCCCUGGGCUCAACCCGGGAACUGCUUUUGAAACUGCCGAGCUAGAGUGCGGAAGGGGCAACUGGAAUUCCCAGUGUAGCGGUGAAAUGCGUAGAUAUUGGGAAGAACACCUGAGGCGAAGGCGGGUUGCUGGGCCGACACUGACGCUGAUGCGCGAAAGCGUGGGGAGCAAACAGG
Molecule: ribosomal RNA, 253 nt
Filed under: uncultured bacterium
Lineage: Bacteria
Description: partial 16S ribosomal RNA
Rfam family: Bacterial small subunit ribosomal RNA
Source: RNAcentral